Oryzias latipes (Japanese medaka) is the source of this 3673-nucleotide long non-coding RNA. RefSeq lists it as uncharacterized. NCBI's taxonomy places the organism in Eukaryota, Metazoa, Chordata, Actinopteri, Beloniformes, Adrianichthyidae. The record is from RefSeq and is a predicted model, not a curated record.
UUGACACCUUAAGUUUACAUAAAUAAAACCGGCAAGACUUUAUCAUUUCGUUUUUAUUUACUUCCCAAAAACAUCUCUUACACACCGUUACCAACAGAGGAACUUGAACUCCUUCAAGCUGGCAUGGGAAGGCAAACUGUGUGUCUCCCAGAGGACUCUAAUCACACAGAGGUACAGUUGUCAGUUUAUUUUUGAUUGCCGCUAAGUUGUCUUUUUAAUUGUUUCUUUUAAUAUUCUCAAUUCAAUUUCUAUUAUUACUUUAUUAUAAAUAAAGAUCUCAAAGUUACUGGUUGAAGCAUUCCCAAAAAUGGCAGAUCUUUGUGGAGAAUGGCUUUUGCAUAAAUCAGCAGGUUUGUGAAAUAACUGUUGUUUUUCAUUAGUUUGUUUCAUCUAUGAUAUUUGUGAAGUUAUUUUACCUCUACAAAAAUAUGAGUUUUUUUUUUAUGAUAUGUCAAGUACAGGUCAUUUAUUUGUAAGAUUCUGUAAUCAUGUUUCCGUUUACUCUCCCAAUAAAGGGGGCAAUGAUCUAUGAAAGCUCAUUUUAAUUCCACCUGAAGCAGAAGGAUAUACUACCAAAGCCCUCAAAGCUCAAUCAGGUGGUGGAAAAACCACUUUAUACAUCGUUCCUCUUCAAGAAACUUUAGACACUUCUCCUUUGCCUCUUGACUCACAACAUUUUUCAAAGAUGCCAAAGACAACUUGUUACCAGUGCAACGAAGUGAUGCCUCUUCAGAUGCUUGCAGUGCACAUUAAAACAUGCAUUGGCAAAUCUGCUUCUGAUGAGGAUAAGGAUUCUGACUUGUGCAUUGAAGAGAACGAAUGUAAGGUGGUGUGUCCAAUUUGCUCCAAGAACUUUUCUGAGCAAGAUAUUGCAGUGCAUGCUGGUCUGUGUGGAGAGAGCUUUGAGGGAGAAACACCUGCAGCAGGGGACCAAGACUCUUCUUUAGAGACUACAGUACAUACACCACAAAGGUUAGUUUUUAAUUAGGAAGAUUAUGGCCAAAUUCAAAUUUUUUCCCUACGGCUUCUCCCUACCCCUCCAAUUGUAAUUUUGAGAUUUUGUGGUUGUCUGAACUUGUUUUUUUAAGGGGAAGGGGUAGGGACUUAGAGCAUUCAAUCACUCUACCGUUAGGGUGAUCUGUGUCUCACUGUGACGUGAUGUGAUGUGUGGAUGUGCUCUGAAGCACAGAAUUUUACAUUUCAGUAGCCGCGGUAACAUGUGCAAAAUGUAUUUGAUCGGAUCAAAGAUCAGAUUAAAAUUCAACCGCUACAUGGGCAUACAUCUGAAUGACUCUGAUCGGGGCAGAGUAUUCCGAAUGGCGUGUUCACAUGACAUUUUUAUUCUGAUCAGGUGUUCUUUCAAUUACUUUUGUCCAUGUAAACACACUUACUGUAAGCAAUGAUCUUUUUGACCCAACUCCCAAUGUUAAAGUGCCUAGGAUAGCACAAGAGUUACAGUAGAAAUUCAAGUUAGUUUUACUAAUUCACUUAAAUCCCUUGGUAUUGUGUAUAUCCUACCAAACUACUGAUGUCUUUCUUCCAUUUUCAAAACAAUAAAAUGGUUUUAUUGUUAAAGAUUUUUAUGAUUAUAUUUGGAUGUGGUUUUGUCUCAAAGAACAGAUGAUGUGUUGCAUCACCUUGAGCAACAGGUCAACAUGAAUAUGGAAUUCAAACUGUGUGUGGACAGAGAGGGGCUUCCAAACAGAGGCAUUCUGCAAUGGCAAAGAAAAAAAUCUUCAUCUCCUGCUGGUACACUGAAGGUUGUGUACAUUGGGGAGGCAGGAGUGGAUACAGGAGCCAUGAAAAGAGAAUUUUUGACAGAUAUGAUUGCAGGUAUUGAGAACAGGUUCUUUGAAGGAGUUGAAGGCCAGGGUAAAAAUCCCAAGUACUCACUGACAUUUGUGGACAAUGAAUAUUUCAGGACUGUUGGUGAAAUAAAUGCAGUCAGCCUAGCCCAAGGUGGGCCAGCUCCAGCGUUUCUGAAAGAGUGGUGCUAUGGAUUCAUUUGUACUGGAGACAUAGAUCUCUGCUCUUUAUCAAAGGAAGAUGUAAUAGACCAAGAAUCGUCUCUCCUCAUGACCAAAGUAAGAAUCUAGUAGCAUGUCAGAACUUUUACAAUAUUCCCCCUAAGUUUUGAUUAAGAAUUGAACAUUUUCUAUAGUCUCAAAAAUAUUUCUUUAUCAAGAUUUUUAAUAUUUCGUAAAAAAAGUUAAGAAGGGAGUUUGCUAACAGAUCAUUUUAGUCUGACUCACAUGAUCAAAGAUCCAACUAGGAUAAAAACCUGUUCACAAACUGUCAUGGUUAGGCCUGCCUUUUGUUCUUUUCCUGCUGUGAUCUCUCCUGUGAGAAUCACAGGUGUUUUUCAUUAGUUGAUUAUGAUUCUGUUCUAUUUAAGGCUCAAGUUUCUGUGUUUCUGUGUCGGAUCGUUCUACCUAUGUUUCUGUUUCGAGCUGGUUUGCUCUUGGCAUUAAAGCCUACUAGUUGGAUUUUGGAUCUGUGUCAUUUCUUCCUGCUCCUGGGUUGUCUCCCCUGACCCGCCGUGACACAAACAAGAAUAUAUCUUUUUUCUUCUUCAAAGUAUGCCAGAAAGAAAAAAAAAACAUACAUUUUUAACUGGUUUCAAAUCACAAAGCCAUUUUUAUUUCCAAAAAACUUACCAAAAAGCGUUUUAGUAACAAAAACAAUCAUUCAAAACAAACAAAUGUUUAUACCAAGAAGCAGGAACAAAAUCUUCUCAUGGCUUUAAAGAAUUUCAAUUGCUCAGACAUUAUUUCAUGAUUAUGACACUGACAAAUUUUGUGAAAGUUCAGUUUAAGUUCUGAUUCUUUAGUUAAAAAUUUUUUUACACCUUUUUAGAAAUAGGGGAAAUCACACAAAAAAAUGCUUUACCCCGGCUCAAUGGUGAACGUAAAUAAUUAUUGAUGUGUAGAGAUAAACUCCUGAAAAAAAUUCUUAUAUCUGGCCUUUCCACUGAUAGAUUCAAUAUUACUUCUAUUAGAAAUAAGGUUAUACAGGCUCCACAAAAGGCAAAGGUAAAUUUUAUAUUGUCUUUUCCCUGUGUUUUUAUUUUUUUUAAUAUUCUGCUUUUAUUAUAAUGCAUAGUUUAUUCUACUUUCCCCUGAUAUUGGUCUAGUAGGCUAUGUGAAAAUGCUGUAUAAAUAAACUUCAAUUCACAGGUAGAGGAUGCAGCGGAUGCACAGUCUCUGAUGCUGUUGGCAGAUGACAUUAGUAACUGCGGAUACACGAGCCAGAUCAAGCCAGAGAAUAAAGAAAACAUUAUUCGUGCUAUUAUCCUGCAUUCUACAACAAGACUCAUCCCUAUGCUGCAGCAGCUAAGAAAGGGCAUGGAGCUGUAUGGUUUGGUGAAUCAAAUGGGGAUGUAUCCUGACGCGUGCCAUGCACUGUUUGUUCCUGGAAACAUCAUUAUGACGGAUGCAGAUUUCAUCAUGAUGAACUGCGAAGCACAAUUUAGUGAAAGGGGAACGUCCAGAGAAAAGCCUGAGAGAAUAAUCCUGACCUUCCUUCAGGAUUUCUGCCAAGAGAUUGAAAUAUCAGGUGAAAGAUUUGACUCAGGGAAGGAACCUGAAGCUCUGGGAAUCCAGGAAGUGCUGCAAUGGCUUACCGGGCAGUCACACGUUCCAAUCCUACCUAACGAAAAAAAAAAAAAUCAAAA